This 253-nucleotide ribosomal RNA is filed under the name uncultured bacterium. Its description in RNAcentral is "partial 16S ribosomal RNA". It matches the Rfam family "Bacterial small subunit ribosomal RNA", at positions 524 to 776 of the family's 1533-position model. The record is from RNAcentral.
UACGAAGGGUGCAAGCGUUACUCGGAAUUACUGGGCGUAAAGCGUGCGUAGGCGGUUUGUUAAGUCUGCUGUGAAAGCCCCGGGCUCAACCUGUGAACGGCAGUGGAUACUGGUAAGCUAGAGUGUGUCAGAGGAUGGUGGAAUUCCCGGUGUAGCGGUGAAAUGCGUAGAGAUCGGGAGGAACAUCACUGGCGAAGGCGGCCAUCUGGGACCACACUGACGCUGAGGCACGAAAGCGUGGGGAGCAAACAGG